This 253-nucleotide ribosomal RNA is filed under the name uncultured bacterium. RNAcentral describes it as "partial 16S ribosomal RNA". It matches the Rfam family "Bacterial small subunit ribosomal RNA", at positions 524 to 776 of the family's 1533-position model. The record is from RNAcentral.
UACGUAGGGUGCAAGCGUUGUCCGGAAUUAUUGGGCGUAAAGAGCUCGUAGGCGGUUUGUUGCGUCGGCUGUGAAAUCCCGAGGCUCAACCUCGGGUCUGCAGUCGAUACGAGCAAACUAGAGUGUUGCAGGGGAGACUGGAAUUCCUGGUGUAGCGGUGAAAUGCGCAGAUAUCAGGAGGAACACCGGUGGCGAAGGCGGGUCUCUGGGCCAUUACUGACGCUGAGGCACGAAAGCGUGGGGAGCAAACAGG